Molecule: ribosomal RNA, 301 nt
Filed under: uncultured bacterium
Lineage: Bacteria
Description: partial 16S ribosomal RNA
Rfam family: Bacterial small subunit ribosomal RNA
Source: RNAcentral
CAGUAGCCGCGGGAAUACGUAGGUCCCGAGCGUUGUCCGGAUUUAUUGGGCGUAAAGCGAGCGCAGGCGGUUAGAUAAGUCUGAAGUUAAAGGCUGUGGCUUAACCAUAGUACGCUUUGGAAACUGUUUAACUUGAGUGCAAGAGGGGAGAGUGGAAUUCCAUGUGUAGCGGUGAAAUGCGUAGAUAUAUGGAGGAACACCGGUGGCGAAAGCGGCUCUCUGGCUUGUAACUGACGCUGAGGCUCGAAAGCGUGGGGAGCAAACAGGAUUAGAUACCCCCGUAGUCCCUGUCUCUUAUACA